Molecule: long non-coding RNA, 705 nt
Filed under: Helianthus annuus (common sunflower)
Lineage: Eukaryota; Viridiplantae; Streptophyta; Magnoliopsida; Asterales; Asteraceae
Source: RNAcentral
GACGAUCUCCUUUUUUUUGGCAGAAUUGAAUGGAAUAUCACACCUUCCAUUUGUGCUUGAUUCAACGAUCUAAAAAGUGACCGGAUCACGAAUGGGGUUGUGGUUCAUUGGAACACAAGUGAGUGGCGUUUCAAUUAUUCAAGAUAGGUUGAAGAUGAAUACAAAUAUGAAAUCGUAAAGUUACAAGACAUUCACAUUCAAUACUCAUUGUUAUCUCUCUGGAAUAUAUUCGGGUGGAAGCUCCUUAACUUAAACUUAGGUGCUACCGUAGCAGCAGCAGCAGGAGCAGCUACUUCAUUUGAAUCAGAAAUCAGAUUUUCAUCUAACGGCCUCACAGUUCCAAUAGACGGUGGUUGAGAAGAAGCAUAAUGGUAAUGAUCGCCUGCACCGGAAACUUGUGAAUUCUCUAACGGCCUCACAGCUCCAGUAGACAGUGGUUGAGCAGAAGCAGAAGCAUCGUACUCGCCGCCGAUGCCGGAGACUUGAGAAGUAUUUAACGGUCUCACAUCCCGAGUUGACAGUGGUACUUCAUCAUCAUCUGCAUAGUCAUCGAUGCCACCGGAAAUUUGAGAAAUUUCCAAGGGUCUCACAGCUGUCAAAGACGGUGGUUCGUCAUUACUUAUGCUCCCGUCAGACGGUUGUUGAUCGGGAUUCAUUUUCUUGUUGGGUUGGGUCUUGAAAUUUUAAAUAGGGGUCGUGAUUUAU